AUGCACAAUCGACACAACAUAUUCCGAUGAUGGAGUGUACUGGUGUGAGUCUAUGUCAAAAGAGUUCAGCAAUGCAGUCAACAUCACUAUACAAGAUUUUUAUUCUGGUCCUAUCAUGGUGAUCCCUGAUGAUCCUGUGAAAACGGGAACUUUCGUUAGUCUUAGCUGCAAGUUGAGAAGAAAAAAAAUCUUUCCCAGUGUGGCUUUUUACCACAAUAACAAACUUAUCCAAAAUGACUCCCGAGAGGACCUGAACUUCUUGGCAGUGUCAAACUCUGAUGAAGGUUCCUACAAGUGUCAGUACUCAGGAAAAGAGUCGCCAUCGCGUUACAUGUCGGUUAAGUCUGCUGCUGGACCUGAAAGCUCUGCAUUUCCUGUCACAGCCAGAAUGAAAGUCGUGAAUGCAGUCGCCUUCAUCCUGGUAAUGCUGCUGUCUAUGAAUCAGUAACACAAAUUGAAGAAACCAGAGGAGGUCAGUGAGGAGAGCUGUAGCAGCAAAAGAAAAAAGAAGCAUUUUGUUUUCCUACUGUUGCUCCUCUGCCACACAAAUAGCAGACAUUUUUCACUUAGUUUGUUUGAAGAUAAUACAACUAAAUACAGACUUGAUAGUCUGUUUCAGCACAAAUAAAACAAGAAAUUAAUUAUCAGGCUCUAUAAUAACUACUUUUUUUGCAUUUUAAAAAUAAUUAUUAAAAAAUAAUCAUUUGUAGUAAGAAAAAUCUGAAAUAUGUGAUCUUGAGUGACUGAUUAUGCAUCUUUAUAUAAUGCAGUUCUGAAUAAUCUCUGUAUAAAUUGUGUUAUAGAGGGUAGUAGCAUGCAAUAUGAAAAAUUUCCUGUGUCUGUCCUUAUGACAGCAGAGCUGAAAAUCUAUUGACGGUACAGUAAGUGGUGGAGGAUUAUCCAUGAUGAUUACAGUUUAUUACUAUGUUCCAUAUUUGAUUUUCUGCCUUUCUGGACCAAAUAAAUGUUUAAAACAAA
Molecule: long non-coding RNA, 978 nt
Organism: Oreochromis aureus
Lineage: Eukaryota; Metazoa; Chordata; Actinopteri; Cichliformes; Cichlidae
Source: Ensembl